Molecule: long non-coding RNA, 1202 nt
Organism: Zophobas morio
Lineage: Eukaryota; Metazoa; Arthropoda; Insecta; Coleoptera; Tenebrionidae
Exons: 4
Source: RefSeq, a predicted model, not a curated record
AGAACACAGCUCAGUUGCACAUAACAAGCGAGUACUCGUAAGUGUCCAAUGUCUACAUUAGUACUGCAGCUUAAAAGCACGUUGCGUUCGGAUGAGUAAUUCAUUUAAAUUGAUUCACUCUAACUUGAACACUUGGUACACGUAUGGAGUAAGAUCAUUUUGAAAACACCCGGUUUGCCCACACAAUGUUCAUUCACCUUAAGUUGCGGCUGUUGUGACAGCAACUAAAUUGUCCGUAUUCUUGUAUGAAAUAGUGGGACACUUGUUGUUAUAAGACGACCAAUAUUUACAAAACAAACGUAACUUGUCUUAAACAUGUGUUUCACACAGAAAACUUUCAAAUAAUGUGCCGGACUUGUACGUGUGGGUAUUGUUAUCGACAUAUUUAACUAGUUGAGAUGAUGUCAUUUUACGCGUAAAUAUAAUUUUAUUGCUUGCUUACCCGCAUUGUUAAUCAAAUUUUAAAGUUUAUAGGAAUACGUGUUGCAACUAGGAGAUUUUUAACGGGCAUGUCAUGCUGCUGAUAUAAUCGCGGUGCACGUUCUUGGAAAUGUUUUAGGUUGAAACGUGGGGUUGCUACAUUUUUCGCAAAAAAAAAUAUUUGUGGAAGUGCAGAAAACCCAACCGCAGACUCGUUGUGGUGGCAGUUGUGGAUAGCAUAAUUGGCGCCGAUAAUCUUUUCAGAAAAAAUGAUACGAAAACUAUGUGCAUCCUAGAAUGUUAUUUCUGCAGUUCUCUGUAUUGUUAGCUUUCAUACAUCACGUUACAUUCCAAAUAUAUGACAUAAUAAAGUCAUGCAGAUAGCUUGUAAAGAUAUCCUUCACUGAACACUGGAUUAAUGAACAUAAACGAGUUAGGGGCGGAGAAGAAGAAAAAAAAAGUGUGUGGGACCCGGAUUGUGAGGAUUUUAGACGUCUGAACAAUUUAUGGUUUUGUUGUUUAUAUCUGACAUUGUAUCCUAUCAUCAGUUGUCAACUCAACAAAUUUGGGUUUUCGUAUGUGGCGGGUGAAACCGAGAAGUGAUAUCAACAGGACAAGAUCUUUCCACUCAUUCGGUUGUUAAAAUUUUAUCUACGUUUUAGUCUUGUGAGGGAGGUGAAUGUGGGUAGAAAGUUGGUCUAUUUAGAAACUUGUUCUAUAAAACACAAAAAAAAAUGUUGCGUGAUGAAGAGAUAUUUUAGUUCUCAAAUUUCCUUGGUCUA